This is a long non-coding RNA of Callorhinus ursinus (northern fur seal), 2109 nucleotides long. RefSeq lists it as uncharacterized. The record is from RefSeq and is a predicted model, not a curated record. Lineage: Eukaryota; Metazoa; Chordata; Mammalia; Carnivora; Otariidae.
CCUAUCACGUAGUACACUGCUUCCCCUAAAUCAACCUAACAACCCAGCAAAACAGGCAACUCCUUUCAGAAAUGAGCUGAUCACGAGUUGACAAUAAUACAUUUAAAAAACCUGAUCUCGCGUUAAUUCCAGCUGGAAAUUGAAACUACAACAAAUGCCCAGGUUUCUUUUCUAAAACUGUUAACCCCCCAAGAGGUGAGGUAGGCAGUUUGUUCUGUGUAUCAGCAGUAGUGGAGUUACUUGGGAGGGGGAAGGCAGCAAAUCAGGCAAGUCAUUAUCUUAAGAAAGCAUGCGGGCGUAGUUCAGGGGUCCUGACCCACAGCUGUGGCUCUGGGUCCGCUCUGCCACGCACUCCACACACGCCAGGGUCGGACCCAACAGCGGGAUGAGGGCUCCUGACCGCUGCCUGGCAUGGAGAGAGGGGUGCCAUGCACGGCUCCGGCCGGAGAGUGAGUGGCAUCCCACGGCCAGCACACAAAAGCUCCGGGUGUCUUCUUCAGCCUUCCGCCGGGGACACUCACUGCAGCCGCUUCAACACGAAACGCUAGGCUCAGAAGAUGAAGCUGAAAAAACAGCUGUGGAGGGUAAGCCCCUAGCCCCUAAGUCUGUCAUUUCUGAAAGGUCACCGGGCUCUGCAAGGAACCCAGACUGGAAGAGGCAGGAGACCUGUUCACUCAUUCUUCCACUCCCCCAGGGCAUACUGAGCACUUACUGGGGGCCGAGCACUGAUAGGGGGAUGGAAGCAGAGCCAGGCAAGCCAAGUCCGGAUUCCAUCCCAAAUUGGAGGAAGCUGGUUCUUAAAGCCUCUGCUCUGUCAUUUUAAAACUGUAUGAAGUUGACCUCUCUGAAGCUUUGUCCCUCAUUAGUAAAUGACACACAAAUUGGCACUGGUGGGAGAACUGAGCAGCAAAACAGCCUGAGGCCAGUGCCAGCGAGUGGACGAUGCUGUUAACCACAGGAGGAACGCCAAGCUCAAGGUUAAGGGUCUCGGACCAGGUGUUAGGUGGAAAGUCCAACACCUACUGGGGCAGUCAGCAGAGAAGCCGGUUCGGCGGCGAAACCAGAGACGGCUGCCUGGAGGAGGUGAUCUGAGCUUAACUUUAAAGGAAAAGAGCCGGCGAGGUUAUGGCGAAUCUGCGGCAUUCAACAUGGCGGAUGGAGUCUUCGCCCUCCUCUUCACGGGGCGCUGACGCCGGCGUAGCGUACGUCAGCCUCGGAUGACCCUCCCCCAGCGCCGAGCGCGUCUAUGCUGGGCGGUCUAGUGCGCAUGUUCCGGUCCGGCGGCCGCGCUUUGCGUCCCGCUCCGCGGGUUCCAGCGCUCCGCUUUUUGAGCCACUCCUGGGACGGUGCUAACGAGAGGCCUGGAAUCCGGAUCGCAGGAUUGGGAGUCUUCCCAUUUCUGCCGGGAGCCAGCAGAUCUACCUGCCUGCGCGUCCUUGGACUCACCUGACGUGGAGCCACUGGGCUAGACGUGCAAGAAUUCUGGGUUCGUGUCCCAGUUCUGCCCUUUACUAACCAAUUUGGGGCAGCGAUUUAACUUUACUUGGGCUCAGUUUACUGAUUUGUCAGUCGGGGUGAUUACAGCCUGCCUCCCUUUCGAGGGUUGCUGUGUUUCCCCGAAGCGGGAUGCUCUCCGCUGGGGGCACCCGGCUCGAUGUAGUCCGGUUCGUACAGCCAGAAUUCAGCAGCCUGGAGCCAUGUGGAGAAAGCGCCUUCCGUCCUGACUGUCCUGCAGAAAGUCUCAGAUGCGUGUGAGCACGCCUCUAGAACGCUCGCUCAUUUUCCUGAGUCUGGCGCACAGCCUUCUUUCUGCAGGCAGCCUGUCUGCUUUAGAUGUCAUGACCUUGUUUCCAGUUUUUGUUGUGAAGGGGAUCCGCUCUGCCACUUCCUUUAGAUCUCAGCUCUAGUGACCUCUCCAAGGGGGCCCUCCCGCACCACCGCAUCCAAAGUAACCCUCCUAAGUACCUUAAUGUUUUCUGCACCGUUAUCUGUUAGCGCCUGACCUGAAUUUAUCUCCCAUCUGUCUUGGUCACCCCUUUGGCCCCAGAAACUAGAAAUGAGCCUGACAGUUACCUAUUGAAUAAAUUAAUGAGUUUUGUGUUGCUUGUA